This 774-nucleotide ribosomal RNA is filed under the name uncultured Neocallimastigales. Its description in RNAcentral is "partial large subunit ribosomal RNA". It matches the Rfam family "Eukaryotic large subunit ribosomal RNA", at positions 18 to 644 of the family's 3401-position model. Lineage: Eukaryota; Fungi; Neocallimastigomycota; Neocallimastigomycetes; Neocallimastigales. The record is from RNAcentral.
UCAGACGAUGCGUCAUGCAUAUCAAUAAGCGGAGGAAAAGAAACUAACAAGGAUUCCCCUAGUAACGGCGAGUGAAGCGGGAAGAGCUCAAAUUUGAAAUCUUAAAGGGUUUCCCUUUACGAAUUGUAGUUUAAAGAAGUGUUUUCUGUUGAGGUUUUGGUAAAAGUUCUUUGGAAUAGGACAUCAUAGAGGGUGAGAAUCCCGUAUUUGACCUUUACUUUCAACUUUGUGAUACACUUUCAAAGAGUCGGAUUGUUUGGGAAUGCAGUCCAAAAUGGGUGGUAAAUUUCAUCUAAAGCUAAAUAUUGGCGAGAGACCGAUAGCGAACAAGUACCGUGAGGGAAGGACGAAAAGAACUUUGAAAAGAGAGUUAAACAGUACGUGAAAUUGUCAAAAGGGAAGCGUUUGACACCAGUGUUGUUUUUCUGAAAAUCAAUUAAAGAACUGUUUAUGCUAAGCUGUUUAGACUUUAUCAGCUAUCUGUUUAGUUUUGAGCUUUUCUUUAAUGCACUUUUCAGUUAACAAGUCAACAUCAAUUUCUUUUGCUGUAAAAAAGCUUGAGGAAGGUGGCUUGAGAUUCGUCUUAAGUGUUUAUAGCCUCUUGCCUAUGCAGUCGGAGAGAUUGAGGUCUGCAGCGUAGAUCCUUCGGGGCUAAAUGCAUUUGUGCUAAGUUAUAGCAUUUUAUAGACAACUUGUUGACUAUGAUUUGUCUUGUAGCUUACUCGCUUAUGUUAUUUUACCUACGCUUAGGAUGUUGAAUCUGUGCGAGACUAC